RNAcentral lists this ribosomal RNA (403 nucleotides) under uncultured bacterium. RNAcentral's name for it is "bacterial SSU rRNA". It matches the Rfam family "Bacterial small subunit ribosomal RNA", at positions 32 to 418 of the family's 1533-position model. The record is from RNAcentral.
AAUCAACGCUGGCGGCGUGCCUAACACAUGCAAGUCGAGCGCGAAAGGGGAGCAAUCCCCAAGUAGAGCGGCGAACGGGUGAGUAACGCGUGGGUAAUCUGCCUCCGAGUGGGGAACAACAUCGGGAAACUGGUGCUAAUACCGCAUAACAUCGUCGGGUUUUCGGAUCUGACGAUCAAAGCCGGGGACCGCAAGGCCUGGCGCUUGGAGAGGAGCCCGCGUCCGAUUAGCUAGNGGUGGGGUAAUGGCCCACCAAGGCUUCGAUCGGUAGCUGGUCUGAGAGGAUGACCAGCCACACUGGGACUGAGACACGGCCCAGACUCCUACGGGAGGCAGCAGUGGGGAAUAUUGGACAAUGGGCGCAAGCCUGAUCCAGCCAUGCCGCGUGAGUGAUGAAGGCCUU